This 253-nucleotide ribosomal RNA is filed under the name uncultured bacterium. RNAcentral describes it as "partial 16S ribosomal RNA". It matches the Rfam family "Bacterial small subunit ribosomal RNA", at positions 524 to 776 of the family's 1533-position model. The record is from RNAcentral.
UACGUAGGGGGCUAGCGUUGUCCGGAAUCAUUGGGCGUAAAGAGCGUGUAGGCGGUCCGGUAAGUCCGCUGUGAAAGUCCAGGGCUCAACCCUGGAAGGCCGGUGGAAACUGUCGGGCUAGAGUCCGGAAGAGGCGAGUGGAAUUCCCGGUGUAGCGGCGAAAUGCGCAGAUAUCGGGAGGAACACCAAUGGCGAAGGCAGCUCGCUGGGACGGUACUGACGCUGAGACGCGAAAGCGUGGGGAGCAAACAGG